Molecule: long non-coding RNA, 376 nt
Filed under: Gossypium barbadense (sea-island cotton)
Lineage: Eukaryota; Viridiplantae; Streptophyta; Magnoliopsida; Malvales; Malvaceae
Description: long non-coding RNA (GBAR_LNC012704)
Source: RNAcentral
CAAAUUUUCUUCCUCUCUUCUCUCAGGGCAAUCUCUUACAUAAUGCUCUUGGGAACCACACCUGAAACAAGCUCGUUUAAAUCCCCAACACUCACCAAUAUGUCGCCUGCCACACUGUUGACAUUCAGGCCGGGUGUUUCCUACAUUGCCCACACUUGCUAUAGAGGUAGCUCGAGUUGUAGCUCCAGAAUACGACCUCCCUCGGUCUCUGCGUGAAUACCCAACUGAACCAGUUGGUCGUGGAUCCAUCCCUUUAAACUUCUUCGAAUGAGAUUGAAAUGUUCUGCCCAUUGUCCUCUUCCUUACAUCUCGAGAUUCCAUCUCUGCCCUUCUCUUUUCUCUACUCAGUUCUUCAGCUUUACAGGCCCGAUCAACU